ACACAUGCAGUCGAGCGGUACAGGUCCUUCGGGAUGCUGACGAGCGGCGGACGGGUGAGUAAUGCAUAGGAAUCUGCCCGGUAGUGGGGGAUAACCUGGGGAAACCCAGGCUAAUACCGCAUACGUCCUACGGGAGAAAGGGGGCUUCGGCUCCCGCUAUUGGAUGAGCCUAUGUCGGAUUAGCUAGUUGGUGAGGUAAUGGCUCACCAAGGCGACGAUCCGUAGCUGGUCUGAGAGGAUGAUCAGCCACAUCGGGACUGAGACACGGCCCGAACUCCUACGGGAGGCAGCAGUGGGGAAUAUUGGACAAUGGGGGCAACCCUGAUCCAGCCAUGCCGCGUGUGUGAAGAAGGCCCUCGGGUUGUAAAGCACUUUCAGCGAGGAAGAACGCCUGGCGGUUAAUACCCGCCAGGAAAGACAUCACUCGCAGAAGAAGCACCGGCUAACUCCGUGCCAGCAGCCGCGGUAAUACGGAGGGUGCAAGCGUUAAUCGGAAUUACUGGGCGUAAAGCGCGCGUAGGUGGCUUGAUAAGCCGGUUGUGAAAGCCCCGGGCUCAACCUGGGAACGGCAUCCGGAACUGUCAGGCUAGAGUGCAGGAGAGGAAGGUAGAAUUCCCGGUGUAGCGGUGAAAUGCGUAGAGAUCGGGAGGAAUACCAGUGGCGAAGGCGGCCUUCUGGACUGACACUGACACUGAGGUGCGAAAGCGUGGGUAGCAAACAGGAUUAGAUACCCUGGUAGUCCACGCCGUAAACGAUGUCGACCAGCCGUUGGGUGCCUAGCGCACUUUGUGGCGAAGUUA
RNAcentral lists this ribosomal RNA (800 nucleotides) under Halomonas sp. RNAcentral's name for it is "bacterial SSU rRNA". It matches the Rfam family "Bacterial small subunit ribosomal RNA", at positions 51 to 854 of the family's 1533-position model. Lineage: Bacteria; Pseudomonadati; Pseudomonadota; Gammaproteobacteria; Oceanospirillales; Halomonadaceae. The record is from RNAcentral.